RNAcentral lists this unclassified non-coding RNA (395 nucleotides) under soil metagenome. RNAcentral's name for it is "partial contains 5.8S ribosomal RNA, internal transcribed spacer 2, and large subunit ribosomal RNA". The stretch from base 1 to 122 matches the Rfam family "5.8S ribosomal RNA", at positions 35 to 154 of the family's 154-position model. The record is from RNAcentral.
GAUGAAGAACGCAGCGAAAUGCGAUACUUGGUGUGAAUUGCAGAAUCCCGUGAACCAUCGAGUCUUUGAACGCAAGUUGCGCCCGAAGCCAUCAGGUUGAGGGCACGUCUGCCUGGGCGUCACAUAUCGUUGCCCAAUGCCUAUUGCAGUGCAAUAGGAAUUUCUAGGGCGAAUGAUGGCUUCCCGUGAGCGUUGUUGCCUCGCGGUUGGUUGAAAAUCGAGUCCUUGGUAGGGUGUGCCAUGGUAGAUGGUGGUCGAGUUAGAACGAUACCGAUCAUGUGCAUGCUCCCCAAAAUAUGGCCUCUAUGACCCACACGCGUCUUUUGACGCUCAUGACGAGACCUCAGGUCAGGCGGGACUACCCGCUGAAUUUAAGCAUAUCAAUAAGCGGAGGA